RNAcentral lists this long non-coding RNA (2029 nucleotides) under Neogale vison (American mink). RNAcentral describes it as "Neovison vison (American mink) lncRNA (ENSNVIG00000006832.1)". Lineage: Eukaryota; Metazoa; Chordata; Mammalia; Carnivora; Mustelidae. The record is from RNAcentral.
AAUAAUUUUUAUUUUUUUAUUUUUUAUUUUAUCUUUUAUUUUUUUUUUAAAUAAGAAAAGAAAAGAAAAGGUUCCUUCCAUUUUAUUGAAAUAUACCAGAUAAAGCCAGGACUUGUGCCUCAGUGCCCCUAAAAUGUUAGGCUUCAAUAAUCAAGUUCUUUUUUCUUACAUUCCACAUGAUCUGAUAGAAGUGAUACUCAUUUAGCGUAAGGUCCUCUGAGGUCUGAGUACUUAACGCAGUAAAGGACAGGUAGAGAGAGAGAGAAAGUAAACUGGAUUAUUAAAUAAGCAGCAGGCAUCUGAUAUAAACAUCAUUUAGAUAGAAAAAAAGCCGAUAGCUUUUAAUUAAUUAGUGAUCAGCACUGGGGGGGUGUGUAUCAGUAUAACCCCCCAAACGUCCACAUGCCCACUCAAGAAAGCUCAAGAUGCAAAUCUUAACUAAUUUAAUGUAUAAAGGGGUCUCAUUUGAGCCACCCGCAAUUUAUACUGUUCUAUUAUUCGACAUGAAGACAAUUUAAAAUUGCAAGGCGAAGAAGCCACUGUAUUUCUGGAGAGCCCCUACAGAGUUUACUGCCGAAAUAGUCACUUGGUCUAUUAAUAACCGGACCUAUCUGGUGUAGUCACUCUCUGAUACCGGAGGCAGACCAUGACAAUGACACGGUUAAACUGUAGACAAAGUCGAUGGCCCAAGAUAUUCCCCAACUUGACAGCGUGAAAUCAAAACCAGGCAGCAUGCCACCUGUGGGGGAAGACGUGCGCAAACACACACGGCCCCUGCCCUCGUGGAGCUUCCAGAACAAGGACAGCAGUGAAGUCACUGACCUCACGAAUGCGCCGCUAACUGCGGGGAAGGACCUGCGGUGCUACAGGAGCCUGCAAAAGGCAGAUGGGAUUACUCAGAGGUCAGCAAUUGGAGUUCCACAGGGUGAACAGGAGAGGAGGAUCCGUGGCUGCUUCAAGAUGGUGGCGACCAGAGGAGGAGGAGGUUAUGGAAGAAGGACAAAAAGAGAAUGGAAGGAGUCUUUUUAAAGGGACAAAUUCAAGUUUACCAGGAAGGAAUUAAACAUUCUAUUCCAGCAUGAACUGUUAAGACCUGACGUAGUAAAAACCAAGAGAAGAACGGUCCCCAAUCUCAAGCUUCUGUCGAUUACACCUUAAAACUACUUUCACUAGUGGAUUCGAAAUACUGGGUAUGUGGCCCCUUGGGCAGUAGUUGGCAUCAGAAGGUGAUGUGCAGUUCAGUAUUAAAGUGUCACUUAGACCUCAGUAACUGACUGCACCUGACUUAUGCCCAAAGCUUAGCCCCCGUCUUAGAAAAUUAGCUUUCUAGCAGUCUGUACUCAGUAGCAUCUACAACUCUAGGGACCAUGGGUUUUACAAGCAGUUAUUAGUUAAAGACUAGAAGGAAUCUAAUUAAAAGCAGUCUCUCAGCCCAAACUAGACUAGGGCAGCUAAAGAGGUCACGGCAAUGAGGUCACAGUUCUGUGAAAUUUACCCAGAUUCUGGUGGGGGAGGGGAUGUUUUUCACACCGUAAACAUCUGAAGUUCCUCACAUUCUUUAUCCUCAGAUAAAACACAGGUUGUAAACCCACAUAAAACACGGGGCUUUAAAAAAUAUGGAUUAAGUUACCCACCACCUUCCCAACCCAAGUAAAACACGGGGUUUUUGGAAAAAAAAUAUUAAGUAUGAUAAGUUAUCCUCCAUCUGCCUACAAGGAUAGGGCAAAACAGAUUAGGUGACGCCUUGCUAAUGAAAACACGUGCUGGAAAAAUAGGUCUAGAAUGCAACGAUCCAACCAAGUCCCCGUCUUGGCGGCUGUUAAGUGGCCAAGAGUAAAUAUUUCAGCCUUGAAAUACUCAAGACUAUAAAAUACAAAAUUUCUAGGAGGCUCAGCACUUGUCUCCAUAGACACAGGAACGCAAGCAAUCCUCGCUGAAGCCUCUGACCGCAUCCUUGGAGAACUUCUAACUAUGCCCCCGGUAGGUAGUUUACCCCUUGAGUCCACAGGCACUGCACGGAGCGAAAAGG